RNAcentral lists this ribosomal RNA (1443 nucleotides) under uncultured Chloroflexota bacterium. RNAcentral describes it as "bacterial SSU rRNA". It matches the Rfam family "Bacterial small subunit ribosomal RNA". The record is from RNAcentral. Lineage: Bacteria; Bacillati; Chloroflexota.
GAUGAACGCUGGCGGCGUGCCUAACACAUGCAAGUCGAACGAGGGUUAGCAAUAAUCCUAGUGGCGCACGGGUGAGUAACACGUAGCUGACCUGCCCCGAACAGGGGGAUAACUGACCGAAAGGUUGGCUAAUACCCCAUAAGCUCACGGCUGUUAGAGAGCUGCGAGAAAAGUUCCGGCGGUUCGGGAGGGGGCUGCGUCCCAUCAGGUAGUUGGUGUGGUAAAGGCGCACCAAGCCAUCGACGGGUAGGGGGCCUGAGAGGGUGACCCCCCACACUGGAACUGAGACACGGUCCAGACUCCUACGGGAGGCAGCAGUGAGGAAUAUUGCUCAAUGGGCGCAAGCCUGAAGCAGCGACGCCGCGUGGGCGAUGAAGGUCUUCGGAUCGUAAAGCCCUUUUCUCCGGGACGAGCAAGGACGGUACCGGAGGAAUAAGUGUCGGCUAACUACGUGCCAGCAGCCGCGGUAAAACGUAGGACGCAAGCGUUAUCCGGAAUUACUGGGCGUAAAGCGCGUGUAGGCGGAUGCGUAAGUCACUGUUGAAAGCGCCGGGCUAAACUCGGCGAGGUGCGGUGAGACUGCGCGUCUAGAGACUGUCAGAGGGAUGCAGAAUUCCGGGUGUAGUGGUGAAAUGCGUAGAGAUCCGGAGGAAUACCAGAGGCGAAGGCGGCAUCCUGGGACAGCACUGACGCUGAGACGCGAAAGCAUGGGGAGCGAACGGGAUUAGAGACCCCGGUAGUCCAUGCCGUAAACGAUGCAAACUAGAUGUGUGCGCUCUACGGGGCGUGUGCGUCGCAGCCAACGCGAUAAGUUUGCCGCCUGGGGAGUACGGUCGCAAGGCUAAAACUCAAAGGAAUUGACGGGGGCCCGCACAAGCAGCGGAGCGUGUGGUUUAAUUCGAGGCUACACGAAGAACCUUACCUGGGUUUGACAUCCCUUGACGGCACAUGAAAGUGUGCUUUCCUUCGGGACAAGGAGACAGGUGCUGCAUGGCUGUCGUCAGCUCGUGUCGUGAGAUGUUCGGUUAAGUCCGAAAACGAGCGCAACCCUCGGUCUGUGUUACAGGUGUCACGGACGACUGCCGGCGGCAAGCCGGAGGAAGGUGGGGAUGACGUCAAGUCAGCAUGGCCUUUAUAUCCAGGGCUACACACACGCUACAAUGGGUGGUACAGUGGGUUGCCAAGGCGCGAGCCGGAGCCAAUCCUGCAAAGCCAUUCGUAGUUCGGAUUGCAGGCUGCAACUCGCCUGCAUGAAGCUGGAGUUGCUAGUAACCGUGCAUCAGCAUGGCACGGUGAGUACGUUCCCGGGCCUUGUACACACCGCCCGUCACGUCAUGAGAGUUCGUCACGCCUGAAGUCGGGAAGGUAACCGCGAGGAGCCUACCGCCGAAGGCAGGGCGGAUGAUUGGGACGAAGUCGUAACAAGGUAGCUGUAGCGGAAGC